This 573-nucleotide ribosomal RNA is filed under the name uncultured cyanobacterium. Its description in RNAcentral is "bacterial SSU rRNA". It matches the Rfam family "Bacterial small subunit ribosomal RNA", at positions 68 to 679 of the family's 1533-position model. The record is from RNAcentral. Lineage: Bacteria; Bacillati; Cyanobacteriota.
GGAGUUUUAACUCAAGUGGCGGACGGGUGAGUAACACGUGAGAAUUUACCUUUAGGAGGGGGAUAACAAUUGGAAACGAUUGCUAAUACCCCAUAUGCUUUUUUAAGUGAAACGGAUUUAUCCGCCUAAAGAAAAGCUCGCGGCUGAUUAGCUAGUUGGUAAGGUAAUGGCUUACCAAGGCGAUGAUCAGUAUCUGGUUUGAGAGGACGAUCAGACACACUGGAACUGAGACACGGUCCAGACUCCUACGGGAGGCAGCAGUGGGGAAUUUUCCGCAAUGGGCGAAAGCCUGACGGAGCAAUACCGCGUGAGGGAAGAAAGCCUACUGGGUUGUAAACCUCUUUUUUCAGGGAGGAACAAAAUGACGUGUACCUGAAGAAUAAGCAUCGGCUAACUCCGUGCCAGCAGCCGCGGUAAGACGGGGGAUGCAAGUGUUAUCCGGAAUUACUGGGCGUAAAGCGUCUGUAGGUUGUUUAAUAAGUCAACUGUUAAAUCUUGAGGCUUAACCUCAAAACAGCAGUCGAAACUAUUAGACUAGAGUAUAGUAGGGGUAAAGGGAAUUUCCAGUGGAGC